This 69-nucleotide transfer RNA is filed under the name Leopardus jacobita (Andean mountain cat). Its description in RNAcentral is "tRNA-His". It matches the Rfam family "tRNA". Rfam says of the family: Transfer RNA (tRNA) molecules are approximately 80 nucleotides in length. Their secondary structure includes four short double-helical elements and three loops (D, anti-codon, and T loops). The record is from RNAcentral. Lineage: Eukaryota; Metazoa; Chordata; Mammalia; Carnivora; Felidae.
GUAAAUAUAGUUUAACAAAAACAUUAGAUUGUGAAUCUAAUAACAAAAGUGCAAAUCUUUUUAUUUACC